UGGAUACACAGUGAAACUGUCGGGACAAUUUAAUGAGGGUUCGACACUUAUCAGUGGUUUAUGGUUUGAACAAUUUCACUGAUCCCCCUCCAUUUCUUGGCACACCUGUAGUUGCUCAGUACUCACGUGUGAUUGUACGGAGGUAGAACAAAGCCAGUGCUAUGUCUUCGGUACCAGUGUGUGUUAUCGUCUGCUGGUCCUAUCCUCAAUCGCUGGCACACUUACAAAUAUGGAACGGGGCCUCAUUAAAUGCAACACCCUUAAACGAUUUUAUAUAGUAUAGGGUAUAGUGUUCCUUAAAAUGAUUUAUUUUUAAUUUUUAAGUCUACAUAUUAAUCUCCAGCACCACAUCAACAUGUAAGGUGUCUUUCUAUGUUUCGUAGCAGAGGAAGAUGUUUGUAGGCAAUGCCUACUCGCUAUUGGUCAAUCACUCAAUGCAAUCACUCAAUGCACACUGAUUUCAUUGGAAACACAAUGCCUACUCGCUAUUGGUCAAUCACUCAAUGCACACAGAUUUCAUUGGAAACACAACAACUGAACAAGUUAUUCUUUUAUAGGUGGUAGACCCUUAAUAUUAAAUUCUACCUGGGGCCCUAUUGUGUUUUUAAGUGGUUUUACCAACUAGACUGCAAACGCUGAUUAAUCUAACUCCAUUGUCUUUAGAUGAAGAAUUUGAGGAGGCACCACCCCCAAAGAAGGCUGAAGGUCACGGCAGCCAAGGAGUAGUCUGACGACGAUGAUGAGAGACUCUGAGGAAGAGGAGAUGGACACCACCCCGGCACCCGCAGCAAAGAAAGCAGGCAUGGUCAAGGCUAAAGAGUCUGACGAUGAUGGAAGUUUGGCUACGUAGAAUUUGCCUCAGUGGAGGACAUGCAGACGGCCUUGGAGCUGAACGGCAAGAAGUGCAUGGGAUAGGAGUUGAAGAUGGAUAAGACCCGCAGCAAAGGAAACUCCCAGGGGGACAAAGGUACAUUUAUAUUACUGUUGAUAUUUGUAGUGCAUUGACUAAAUCUUGCUGUUUGAAACUUUUAAGGUUUUCACAAAUGUGAUAAUUGAAUAAACUGAAGUGGUGAUUUAAAGUCUUGUCCUUUCCUUUCAUAAUACUUGGAGCUUCCAACGAUUGUGUACAUUAUUUCUUUCCUGUGAUGGAACUUCCUGAAGUGGUUAAAAAAAAAAACUAGUGUGACAUGAGUAAGUUGACUAAUGACGACAAGCUGAAGCCAGCUAAUUAUUUUUGGUAUUUAGAGAGAACCCGUUGAGCCCAGGGCCUCGUGCCGUGAUCACAGUAGUCCAAUGUUAAAAAGAAAAAAAAAUACAACACAAUUUUAAGGAAAACUCGGGUCCUUAAUCCACACUUGAAAUUGAUCAUCCACUUUAUGUAACUUGCUCCAGCAGUGAGGUGUGUUAAAUAAAGCAGGAUUAACAGUCAGAAACUAUUCAUACCCCUUGACUUAUUUGUGUUGCCUUAAAGCCUGAAAUCAAAUAAGAUUACAUUGAUCUUUUUUACUCCCAUCUACAAAGUAUACCCCGUAACGACAAAGGUAAUAGUUUUUUUUUUUUGCACAGUUAUUGAAAUUUUAAAUUCAUUGCUUGUAUGAAUAUUGCAUUUUACACCCUUGAGUCAAUGCAUGCUAGAAUCACCGUUGGCAGUGAUUGCAGCGGUCUUUCAGGGUGAGUAAGCUUUGCGCACAUGUUUUAAAAAAAAAAAAAAACAAUAUUUGCAUAACUAGGACAGUUUAGGAACAAAUUUUUAUUUACAAUGAUGGCCUACCCUGGCCAAACUCUUCACGACACCGGCGCCAACCUAUGGGACUCCCAAUCAUGACCGGUUGUGAUGGAGACCCGAAUCCGGGUCUGUAGGGACGCCUCUAGCACUGAGAUUCAGUGCCUUAGACCGCUGUCCAUUAUUUCUAUGCACUCAUUUUCAGGUUUUAGCAUAGAUUUUCAAGCUGAUUUUAAAAUAAAUUAACUCAGCCACUCAGGACCUUCCACUGUCUUGGAAAGCAACUCUAUAGUGUAGUUCUAAGUUAUUGUCCUGCUGAAAGGUGAAUUCAUCACCCACUGUCUGGUUUUAACUAUUCCGUUUGGAUUUAUCUGUAAACGCUACCCAGUCCUUGAUGAUUACAGGAAUACCUGUCACAUGAUGCAGGCACCUCUGCUUGUAUUGGUGGAUUGUUGUACUUAGUAAUGUGUUUAUAUUAGAUUUGCCCCAAACCCAAUGUAUUCAGGGCAAGAAACCUCCCUGGUCUUUGUGGUUAAAUCUGUAUUUCAAAUUCACUGCUCAACUGAGGGACCUUUUUUAAAGAGAAUAUAUUUUAUGUGUGGGGUACAGAGAUCAGGAAGUCACACAUUGCUUUUUUUUUUUGAACACUUAUUGCACACAGUGAGUCCACACCGAGCAGUUUGUCGUGGCCUUCGCUGAAUUUGUACUUUGGCUCAAAUGAACAAAUAAGCCAUAAAUGUUAACAUCUAGAUGUGCUCAUUUGUUGAGAAUAUAUUUUCCCCCAAAUAAAAGCAUGAUUGACUUGAAUCACACCAUCUAGUUGUGUAUGUAGCUCAGUUGGUAGAGCAUGGCGCUUGUAACGCCAGGGUAGUGGGUUCGAUCCCCGGGACCACCCAUACGUAGAAUGUAUGCACACAUGACUGUAAGUCGCUUUGGAUAAAAGCGUCUGCUAAAUGGCAUUUAUUAUUAUUAUUACCUCAGUCUACCCUCAACCCCGUUGUACCAACGACCCCCCCAUAAAAUAGUGAACUUAUCUGGCGACAUACAAGUUCUGAACAAUAUGGUGUAAAGACAGGCAAGUUAUAAAAGAUUAUCUAUAUUUCAUAGAUUUUUGUUAGAUUGGGGUUAACUUUUGUUACAUUAAAUAACCUACUACUUACUAAAACUAUAUAUUUUUUUUUCUUGCAUGCCAUGUGAU
Molecule: long non-coding RNA, 2921 nt
Organism: Oncorhynchus gorbuscha (pink salmon)
Lineage: Eukaryota; Metazoa; Chordata; Actinopteri; Salmoniformes; Salmonidae
Exons: 3
Source: RefSeq, a predicted model, not a curated record